AGUCGAGGGGCAGCACAGGUAGCAAUACCGGGUGGCGACCGGCGCACGGGUGAGUAACGCGUAUGCAACUUGCCUAUCAGAGGGGGAUAACCCGGCGAAAGUCGGACUAAUACCGCAUGAAGCAGGGGCCCCGCAUGGGGAUAUUUGCUAAAGAUUCAUCGCUGAUAGAUAGGCAUGCGUUCCAUUAGGCAGUUGGCGGGGUAACGGCCCACCAAACCGACGAUGGAUAGGGGUUCUGAGAGGAAGGUCCCCCACAUUGGUACUGAGACACGGACCAAACUCCUACGGGAGGCAGCAGUGAGGAAUAUUGGUCAAUGGCCGAGAGGCUGAACCAGCCAAGUCGCGUGAGGGAUGAAGGUUCUAUGGAUCGUAAACCUCUUUUAUAAGGGAAUAAAGUUCGGGACGUGUCCCGUUUUGUAUGUACCUUAUGAAUAAGGAUCGGCUAACUCCGUGCCAGCAGCCGCGGUAAUACGGAGGAUCCGAGCGUUAUCCGGAUUUAUUGGGUUUAAA
RNAcentral lists this ribosomal RNA (510 nucleotides) under uncultured bacterium. RNAcentral's name for it is "bacterial SSU rRNA". It matches the Rfam family "Bacterial small subunit ribosomal RNA", at positions 60 to 564 of the family's 1533-position model. The record is from RNAcentral.